Long non-coding RNA from Myodes glareolus (Bank vole), 1594 nucleotides. RefSeq lists it as uncharacterized. NCBI's taxonomy places the organism in Eukaryota, Metazoa, Chordata, Mammalia, Rodentia, Cricetidae. The record is from RefSeq and is a predicted model, not a curated record.
CCUCCCUAAUGCCCAGGUUAAAGGCUUGAGCCACCACACCAGCUCAAGGAGGAGUUUAUGCCUAACAGAUUGGCCACCAUUCGGCAGAUCUGUGAUGAACCAAGCCCCUGGGAGAGGGUAAUUUGGGGGAACAAAUAGUCAGGAAACAACACCCUGUGUCUGAAAUAAAACAAGAGGCCAUAAAUGAGGAGGCACACUGACCUGCUUCAGAAGAACUUGCCUUUAGGGUCAGACAAUGCAACAAUGAGAACAAUAUCCAUCAGCAUCUAGCCCAUCCCAGACACCAAGCAGCAUCACUGCCCCUGGAACAACACCAUUUUUCAUGAACGUCCACGACACCUCACUAAUUGUGGUGGUAGCCCUCAGAAUAUCGUCUCCCUCGAUGGAACAUACAUAGAAAAUAAGUUUGGUGAAGGAUUGAUUACGAGUACUCUCCACAGCCAUGGCAACGCCAUCACCUUUCGACCCACUACACCAGGGAAACGUCAUGACUGAGGGAAGCCGCUCACUUCACAGCAAUCCCAGUUCUCAAAGUUUCCAACACCUCCCAGAAUAGCGACACCAGCCGGGGACCAAGAUUUCAACAGGAGCCCAUGGGGAACAUUUGGCAUUGGAGCAACGCCUUCCCCCCUUCCGGUUUUGUAGCUCGGGAUUAUCUCCACUACUCAAACUUGGGUCAUCUCAGGAUCUUUGUUCUCAUGUUUUUGUUUGAGUUUCUCUCUGGGGCUCCACUGCCAGCAAGCCUGUCUACCCAGUCCUGAGGGUUUUGGCCAUUUACUGAUACUUUAUUCCUCUGUUUACAGUGUCUCAAAGUUCCGUUCCUUUGGGUCCCGCUCUGUCUCCCAUUCGGGCCCCCGAGGCGGACUGCUUUCCCGCGGUGUAGGUUUGAUGGAAAAAGCCAGCUGCAGCUGUUACCUGGGACUGCUCCCCUUCUGCCUCUCAGCCACACAGUUCUCUGCCCCUUCUCUGACAUGAAGGAAUUUUCGCUGCCGCUCUGGAAGCUUUCAGUGGAGGGAGGAGCAGACUGAAUCCCAUUCUGUCUUAUGUCGCUGCUGACUACCAGGCUUAAGAGAUGGCUUUUCUUUUUUUCCUGCUUGAUUUUCAGUCCCACACCGUGAAGACGACGUUAGGAGCAGCUGAGCACGAGCGAACCCCAAAGUUCUCUUGCUCUUGUUUUACAACUCACGCCUGCCUACCUCCCGGGCUUCUGCCAGCUUCUAAAUUCCAUGCUUCCAAAUAAGACAGUAACAUAUUCGACUCUGUGGAUUGUUAACAGAUUCUUGGACCAGCGCACACGUCACCCCCAAUGUGCCUGACUGGAUAACAAUGUAAAGUACAAUGGGGUAACAUAUGCAAUGCAUUGUCUUUCUUUUUCAAAAACUCAUUUUAUAAAACUCCUUAAUUGAAUCAGGCUUGAACUUCCUGUGGCAUGAGACCAAAUAGAAUUACAUUGAUGCUAAAAAUGUAAAUGCAUCCCAGAUACCACGGUUGAUGUAUAGUUGGGGAUACUGAAGCCUGAAGGCUUGUGUGAGCACUAAGAUGAGAAGGGAGAAUCUUAGGAUUCAGGUACCUGACAUAUAAACAUUUAUGGAAU